GACGAACGCUGGCGGCGUGCUUAACACAUGCAAGUCGAACGGAAAGGCCCUGCUUUUGUGGGGUGCUCGAGUGGCGAACGGGUGAGUAACACGUGAGUAACCUGCCCUUGACUUUGGGAUAACUUCAGGAAACUGGGGCUAAUACCGGAUAGGAGCUCCUGCUGCAUGGUGGGGGUUGGAAAGUUUCGACGGUUGGGGAUGGACUCGCGGCUUAUCAGCUUGUUGGUGGGGUAGUGGCUUACCAAGGCUUUGACGGGUAGCCGGCCUGAGAGAGUGACCGGCCACAUUGGGACUGAGAUACGGCCCAGACUCCUACGGGAGGCAGCAGUGGGGAAUAUUGCACAAUGGGCGGAAGCCUGAUGCAGCAACGCCGCGUGCGGGAUGACGGCCUUCGGGUUGUAAACCGCUUUCGCCUGUGACGAAGCGUGAGUGACGGUAAUGGGUAAAGAAGCACCGGCUAACUACGUG
This 468-nucleotide ribosomal RNA is filed under the name uncultured bacterium. RNAcentral's name for it is "partial 16S ribosomal RNA". It matches the Rfam family "Bacterial small subunit ribosomal RNA", at positions 28 to 507 of the family's 1533-position model. The record is from RNAcentral.